CACUCAGGUAUGAAAGGCAAUUUCUAAAAUCCACCCCCCUGCAUAAAGAAGUCUUCCUCAACCACCAGAGUCUCAGAGACCUUUCUCCAGCUGAUGACAGAAGAGGGAGUCAGAGCAACCUGAAGCAUGAGAAGGACUCACUGCUAGGAGCAUGGAAGGAGCCACUUAGGGUGGAACGCAGAUGGGAAGACCAGCCGCCUACUGAUGCCAGUAAGGAAAUGGGGACCUCUCUACUACAACUGCAAAGAACUGAAUUUUGCCAAUAAUAGGAAUGAUGAGGAUUCCUGUUCUCAUCUUGGCAUCCAGGUAACAAAGCCAGCCAAUACCCUGCAUGCAGCCUUGUGAGACCCUGAGCAGAGAACCCAGCCAUGUCAUCCCAGACUUCUAAUUUAUGGAACUAAUGAGUAAUAAAUGGGAUUUUUAAAGCUGCUAA
Long non-coding RNA from Neofelis nebulosa (Clouded leopard), 433 nucleotides. RefSeq lists it as uncharacterized. The transcript is spliced from 2 exons. The record is from RefSeq and is a predicted model, not a curated record. NCBI's taxonomy places the organism in Eukaryota, Metazoa, Chordata, Mammalia, Carnivora, Felidae.